CUCUUCUUGAAUAUAUUUUGAUGUAUGGCCUGCCCACUGAAUAUUGAAGGGCCGCGGUAUUUUGACCGUGCAAAGGUAGCAUAAUCAUUAGUCUUUUAAUUGUAGGCUGGAAUGAAUGGUUUGACGAGGUGUUAACUGUCUUUAAUUUUUUUUGUUGAAUUUAAAUUUUAGGUUAAAAUGCCUAAAUAUUUUUUUGGGACGAGAAGACCCUAUAGAGUUUUAUAUAUUUUUAUUUUUUUGUAUGAUAAUUUUUAAUGUAAAAAUUUAUUUUGUUGGGGUGAUGAGAAGAUUAAAUUAACUCUUUUUGUUUUUUUAUAUUUAUUUAUAUUUAUUUGAUCCAUUUUUAUUGAUUGUAAGACUAAAUUACC
This 368-nucleotide ribosomal RNA is filed under the name Cryptocercus sp. 2 ZW-2019. RNAcentral's name for it is "partial 16S large subunit ribosomal RNA". The record is from RNAcentral. Lineage: Eukaryota; Metazoa; Arthropoda; Insecta; Blattodea; Cryptocercidae.